RNAcentral lists this ribosomal RNA (378 nucleotides) under uncultured bacterium. RNAcentral describes it as "bacterial SSU rRNA". It matches the Rfam family "Bacterial small subunit ribosomal RNA", at positions 30 to 407 of the family's 1533-position model. The record is from RNAcentral.
AUUGAACGCUGGCGGCAUGCCUUACACAUGCAAGUCGAACGGCAGCACGGGAGCAAUCCUGGUGGCGAGUGGCGAACGGGUGAGUAAUAUAUCGGAACGUGCCCAGUCGUGGGGAUAACGUAGCGAAAGCUACGCUAAUACCGCAUACGAUCUACGGAUGAAAGCGGGGGAUCGCAAGACCUCGCGCGAUUGGAGCGGCCGAUAUCAGAUUAGGUAGUUGGUGAGGUAAAGGCUCACCAAGCCGACGAUCUGUAGCUGGUCUGAGAGGACGACCAGCCACACUGGGACUGAGACACGGCCACGACUCCUACGGAGGCAGCAGUGGGGAAGUUUUUGGUACAAAUGGCGCAAGCCUGAUCCAGCAAUGCCGCGUGCAGG